GACGAACGCUGGCGGCGUGCUUAACACAUGCAAGUCGAACGGAAAGGCCCUGCUUUUGUGGGGUGCUCGAGUGGCGAACGGGUGAGUAACACGUGAGUAACCUGCCCUUGACUUUGGGAUAACUUCAGGAAACUGGGGCUAAUACCGGAUAGGAGCUCCUGCUGCAUGGUGGGGGUUGGAAAGUUUCGGCGGUUGGGGAUGGACUCGCGGCUUAUCAGCUUGUUGGUGGGGUAGUGGCUUACCAAGGCUUUGACGGGUAGCCGGCCUGAGAGGGUGACCGGCCACAUUGGGCCUGAGGUACGGCCCAGACUCCUACGGGAGGCAGCGGUGGGGAAUAUUGCACAAUGGGCGGAAGCCUGAUGCAGCGACGCCGCGUGCGGGAUGACGGCCUUCGGGUUGUAAACCGCUUUCGCCUGUGACGAAGCGUGAGUGACGGUACUGGGUAAAGAAGCACCGGCUAACUACGUG
Molecule: ribosomal RNA, 468 nt
Filed under: uncultured bacterium
Lineage: Bacteria
Description: partial 16S ribosomal RNA
Rfam family: Bacterial small subunit ribosomal RNA
Source: RNAcentral